AUGCAGGUUUCUGCCCCUAUGGGCAGCUCUUUGAGAAACUUGGAUGGUCGAUAGAAGGGACUUUGUGUCAGGUUUUAUCAAGUUCACCUGGGUUUUGUUGUUGUUGCUUUUGUUUUUUUUUCUUGAGAUGGAGUCUCACUCUGUCUCCCAGGCUGGAGUGCAGUGGCGUGAUCUUGGCUCACCACAACCUCUGCCUCCCGAGGGUUCAAGUGGUUCUCCUGGUUCAGCCUCCUAAAUAGCUGGAGCUACAGGCGUGUGCCAUCAUGCCUGGCUAAUUUUUGUAUUUUUUUAGUAGCAACAGGGUUUUACCAUGUUGGUCAUGUUGGUCUCGAACUCCUGACCUCAAGUGAUCCACCCGCCUCGGCCUCCCAAACUGCUGGGAUUACAGGUGUGACCCACCACACCCAGCCAUUGUUUCCCCCUCGCCCCCUUCUUCUUCUUCUUUAUACUAGCCUUGCUAAAGCAAAGGCUCAAAAAAUUAGCUAAAAACUCAAAAACUCUCCACAGGAAUCUUUAGUAAAAGGUGAAAGAUUUAUAUGAUCUGAAGAGAAACCAGAGUAUCACCUGGUUUAUUUUUAUUAGUAGGGUUGAGGCGACUGACUAACCACUCCAAUAGAGGAGAGAAACAAGGGGCUGUAAACAGUGACCAGUCGUCACCAAGAAAGAAGUUUUGACUAGGAAACUUCUUAGGGAAGUUCCUAAGUCACCUCUUGGGGAGAGGUGAAUGAGAAAAGGGCAAAUGUCCUCUGCCUGCCCCUGGGUAGACAUGCAUCACUUUGGUCUUAGCUAUGGGAUGAACCCUGGGAAGGUUUGCGGUGAAGAUAGGUCUGUGACUUCAUCAACACAAACCCCACCCACUUUACCCCAUACAACAGUUAUCUUGUGUCCAAAUAUAGAAUAAAAGAUUGUAGAAGUACUGGAAAGUCAUUUAAAGAGAAGGAGGAAAAGAAAGGAGGUGUCUGCUUUCUUAGUCUUAGUCAUGUUUACCAUGACACUAGUCUGGAAAUGAAUCUUGGGGAAAAUCAAGGGAGGAGUCAUCCAUGUGUGUCUUUCGGGAGUAUUUAACUUAAUUGGCAAUUUGGAACAUAGGGAGAACACAGCUUACUCAUUCUGAAGCAACAAUAUGCUAUUUUUUCCUGAUUCAGACUUCUCAAGGUGAUGAGAGAGACAGGCUAGAACAACAAGUUUCAUCCCCUCUGUCUCAUUAAAAUUAUUAAAAUGAGACUGUAGAAACCGAGUGAGCAGGGCGUAGUGGCACAUGCCUGUAAUCCCAGCACUCUGGGAGGCCAAGGUUCCAGAGGAUCGCUUGAGGCAGGAGUUCAAGACAAGUGUAUUAGACCAUUUUCACACUGCUAUAAAGAAAUACUGGGUAAUUAUAAGGAAAGAGGUUUAGUAGACUCAGUUCUGCAUGGCUGGGGAGGCCUCAGGAAACUUACAAUCAUGAUGGAAGGGGAAGCAGGCACCUUCUUCACAAGGCAACAGGAGAGAGAGUGAGCAAGAUCAGGAAAAACUGCCGUAUAAAACUAUCAGAUCUCAUGAGAACUCACUCACUACCAUGAGAACAGCAUGGAGGAAACCACUCCCUUUAUCCAAUCACCACCCACCUGAUCCCUCCCUCGACAUUUGGGGGUUAUGGGGAUUACAAUUCAAGAUGAGAUUUUGGUGGAGACACAGAACCAAACCAUAUCAACCAGGCUGGGCAACAUGGCAAGCCCUUGUCUGUACAAAAAAAUACAAAAAUUAGCAGGGUGUGGUGGCACAUACCUGUGGUCCCAGCUACUCAGGAGGCUGGGGAUCACUUGCUUCUGGGAGGUAGAGGCUGCAGUGAGCCAUGGUUGAUUGCACCACUCUCCUCCAGCCUG
RNAcentral lists this long non-coding RNA (1862 nucleotides) under Homo sapiens (human). RNAcentral describes it as "HSALNT0095138". Lineage: Eukaryota; Metazoa; Chordata; Mammalia; Primates; Hominidae. The record is from RNAcentral.